GAUGAACGCUGGCGGCGUGCCUAAUACAUGCAAGUCGAGCGAACGGACGAGAAGCUUGCUUUUCUGAUGUUAGCGGCGGACGGGUGAGUAACACGUGGAUAACCUACCUAUAAGACUGGGAUAACUUCGGGAAACCGGAGCUAAUACCGGAUAAUAUUUUGAACCGCAUGGUUCAAAAGUGAAAGACGGUCUUGCUGUCACUUAUAGAUGGAUCCGCGCUGCAUUAGCUAGUUGGUAAGGUAACGGCUUACCAAGGCAACGAUGCAUAGCCAACCUGAGAGGGUGAUCGGCCACACUGGAACUGAGACACGGUCCAGACUCCUACGGGAGGCAGCAGUAGGGAAUCUUCCGCAAUGGGCGAAAGCCUGACGGAGCAACGCCGCGUGAGUGAUGAAGGUCUUCGGAUCGUAAAACUCUGUUAUUAGGGAAGAACAUAUGUGUAAGUAACUGUGCACAUCUUGACGGUACCUAAUCAGAAAGCCAUGGCUAACUACGUG
This 497-nucleotide ribosomal RNA is filed under the name uncultured bacterium. RNAcentral describes it as "partial 16S ribosomal RNA". It matches the Rfam family "Bacterial small subunit ribosomal RNA", at positions 28 to 507 of the family's 1533-position model. The record is from RNAcentral.